GGCCUGGGGUUUGCCCGUUCGGAUCCUUGGUGUGGACAUGGCACCACUUGGCACACCAUGCUGUGGAAAGAAAGGGAGGUACCUUGAAGACCAAUUUUCUGUUUAACUGAAGAAGGGUCUGACUGGAACAGAAAUUGCAUAUCUUCUUACACAUCUAAUCUACAAGAGGAAAAGGUGAAGCGGGUUUGAAAACCAAUUAUGUGGUGUAAAAGAGGACAAUUGGAAGCACUGGCUGUAUUACCAAGGCUUUGACUAGAAUGUCAUAUUUGAGAGAGAUGUAUGUGGACUCGGAUAUGACCAGACAUCUUUAAGAAAUUGCUUGGAAAAACUUGUUUAUAGGGUUUCCAGCAGCCUUACCAGCACUGGACUGAAAAGAUAAUGCCAUCGUCCAUAUCUAACAGGCCAUUACUAAGGGAAGUACCCUUUCAGACUGCUGGAUUUGUCAUCAAAACUGAUCUGUUCAUGAUGCUAGAGACACCCUGUCUCCAAACUUGGGGAACUCUGUGUCCGGGUUCUAUGCAAAGAAAGGGACACAAAGCAAGGGUAACCAGAAUAAAACUGCCUGUGUGGUGGUGAUAGAUGGAAAUUAGUAUUUGGGUGAUGGACAUGAUGUAAUCUACACAGAAGUUGAAAUAUAAUGAUGUGCACCUGAAAAAAAAGAAUGAAAGAAAAGAAAGCAAAAAACUGCCUAUGCAGUCUACAGACCUUAAAAUUUUACUAGCCACCAUGACUGUCGCCUUUCCAGUCCUGAGCCACAGAUUCAAACAGGAAUUACUGGGAGGCAUUGAUGAAUCAGAAUUUGCUUCCUUUGACUUGUUAAUAGGAUAGCCCUUGAUUAUCUUUUAGCUGAGCAAGGAGGUACGUGUGCUGUGGCCAACACUGCCUGCUGCAUAUGGAUUAACACUUCUGGGGAAGUUGAAACUCAGUUACAUAAAAUCACUGAGCAAGCCAUUUGGCUUGAAAAGGUGACUCCUUCAGUGGGGUCUUUCUGUGACAUUGAUAUUGAUGGGUUUGGGUCUUGGGGACCAUGGCUCCAAAGUGCACACCAGACAUUGGGAAUUAUCUUGCUUAUAAUAAUCAUAGUAAUCUUUCUAGUGAGCUGUAUUCUCUCAAAAGCUUUAAAUGUAUGUUCACAGCCACUGAUCACCAAGCAAAUGAUCUCCUUAAGACUAGAAUGUUAGAAAAGGCACAAAGAGAAUUACCGACUUAAAAAUUGUGAACCCAAGUUGUGGCCUAUGAAUAUCACAGAAAUAAAGCAAAAAAACCAUCAUUACCUGUGAAUACCACACAAAGGAUCAAUAAAAACCAUAAGAACUUCAGAGUGGUGGCUGGGAGUGGCACUAAUGCCUUAAAUUUUGAUCACAUCUCUCAGUUAGGCUGAGAAUCUGAUCAAAAGGGGAAAUUGUUCAAAAAGAGACAACAAGUCCCAAAAUGGAGUCACUUGUGCUAAGUCCAUGUGACCAAACUGAGACUUAAUACCUAACCUAGUUGCAGUCUCAGCCCCCAGGAGCGUGAUCGUAACCAGUCAGUCUGGAAUUUCCUGGUCAGCACUAGUGAGGUAGGUAAUCCACCUGAUAGACCCUUUAAUCCCCAAAAGGAAGAUGCUCUUGCCUCAAACAAUCCACUCUUUUCCCCCUUCUGUGUAUAAAAGCCUUCCAUUUGUACAGCACCUGUUUGCUAGACGGAAUGCUACCAGAUUCAUGAAUUAUUGAAUAAAGUCAGUUAGAUCUUCAAAA
Molecule: non-coding RNA, 1736 nt
Organism: Equus caballus (horse)
Lineage: Eukaryota; Metazoa; Chordata; Mammalia; Perissodactyla; Equidae
Source: RefSeq, a predicted model, not a curated record